CUGGGUUCUUCUGGAUAUAUGCUGAACAGAGAGAUGCAUUUUACCUCUGGGAGGUUUGGAGAGCAGGGGAAGAAAGCAAAAUUUGCUUACUUGAGAUCCUGAGGUGCCUGACUAGACCUUAAGAUGAAAAUGAUGAUAGAACUGGGACAUGCCUACACUGGGCAGGAAGGUGUGGUGCAGAAAUCCCCAGACGAACGCUGAACAAUCUAGCUCCAGACCUUGAACCAAAACAGCCAUGCAUGGAGCAAGCUUCAGCGAGCUCAGGACCAGCCCUGUGACAAUGCUGCUGAACCACCAGCUUCCCAGCUGGCCACCAUGCAGUGCUGUGGUGUUUGGAUGAUGCUGGGAUUCAAGGAUUCAAGUCAACCAGCAGCACAGAUCAUAAGAAACUGAUGAAGACAAACUGUGAGAAGAAGGUUCUUUUGCCCUACUGGCAGCUGACUCUGGUUGGACAUCAAAAAUUGGCUGACUUGUGUGCUUCCUUAAUUUUUUCCCCUCAUGUUUGAUAUUUUCAGCCUAUGUGACAAAGAAGAACAAGGCAUGUCUGAGUCACAUUAAUGCCCACUACACAUCCUUGGUAUACCACAGCAAGAGGCACAGAAAAGCUGGUUGGACUUCAUUCCUCUAAUCAAAUGUCAGAAAUGUUGUUAAAUGGAAGAUGACAAGAUCACCAGCUCAGCAGGAACAAGUCUGCAGAGAAACAAAAGCAUGAGGCUGUACUGUGUCUGCCUGUGGAGACACGAGGAUUUUUCAGAUGUAUCCUAGAAGCUGGGGGACGGAUGAAGGAGCCCAUGCACUUUAGUUAUGGGGAAUGGUUGGAUGUGAUAACAGGCAGCAAACAAGCUCUGGUUCUAACUUCCAGUGCUUCAUGAUUGCCAGCACAAACUGAUAGAGCAAGGAUAGGAAGUCACCAGAGCAGAGAUCUGGCUGCUGUUGUUUCAAGAGCUAUGGAAGCAGCUGUGGCCUGGGG
Molecule: long non-coding RNA, 970 nt
Filed under: Zonotrichia albicollis (white-throated sparrow)
Lineage: Eukaryota; Metazoa; Chordata; Aves; Passeriformes; Passerellidae
Description: lncRNA (ENSZALG00000016185.1)
Source: RNAcentral